GUAUAAAUCUGAUCUGUUUUGGUUUCCAAUUUGCAGGGCAAAUUUCUGGUCUGGAAAUUUAUGGGUAGAUUUCUUCCCGAAAUACCCAGUCAUAAAUUCAGCAGCCUGUUUAAAAGCAGAUGGGAUUGGCAUGUAGCUUCGAUGGCCAGGUCACUGGAUUUUUUCCAGUUCUUUUUCUUCGACUCUGGCAUCUCCUGGUACCGUGAUGUCAAUAAAUUGUACAUUUUGGUUUUCGACAACUGUGUGAUAUCUGGCGUGUUGUGUUCCAAGUGACGAUCCAUCUGUAUUCAAAAGUCCCACAAGAUCUUCACCUUCUCAUUUUCUAUAACUUUUUCCACUUUAUGUUCCCAUGACUUUUUGGAUACAGCAACUCGAGUUCCAGGUUCCAUAAAUCUGACAAUUAAAGAUGCCGACUCUCCUAUCAAUGCCACUUCUAAUGACAAACAAGGCAACAUGUUUUGAGCAUCUAUCAUUUUUGUGCCUUCAUUAAAUUUG
Molecule: long non-coding RNA, 495 nt
Organism: Ahaetulla prasina
Lineage: Eukaryota; Metazoa; Chordata; Lepidosauria; Squamata; Colubridae
Exons: 3
Source: RefSeq, a predicted model, not a curated record